Molecule: ribosomal RNA, 500 nt
Filed under: uncultured eukaryote
Lineage: Eukaryota
Description: SSU rRNA
Rfam family: Eukaryotic small subunit ribosomal RNA
Source: RNAcentral
ACUGUCCAGACUAAGCCAUGCAUGUCUAAGUAUAAGUGUUAUACAGCGAAACUGCGAAUGGCUCAUUAAAACAGUUAUAGUUUAUUUGACAAUCGAAUUUACAUGGAUAACCGUGGUAAUUCUAGAGCUAAUACAUGCUGGUGUGCCCGACUUUUCGGAAGGGCGGUAUUUAUUAGAUAACAAGCCAAUAUUCCUCUGGUCUAUUGUGGUGACUCAUAAUAACUGAUCGAAUCGCAAGGCCUAUGGCCGCGAUAAGUCAUUCAAGUUUCUGCCCCAUCAGCUUUCGAUGGUAGUGUAUUGGACUACCAUGGCGUUUACGGGUAACGGAGGAUUAGGGUUCGAUUCCGGAGAGGGAGCCUGAGAAACGGCUACCACAUCUAAGGAAGGCAGCAGGCGCGUAAAUUACCCAAUCCUGAUUCAGGGAGGUAGUGACAAGAAAUAACGGACCGAGGCCUUCGGGCUUCGGGAUUGCAAUGAGCCGAAUUUACACCCCUUAGCGA